GAUGAACGCUGGCGGCGUGCCUAAUACAUGCCAGUCGAGCGAACAGACGAGGAGCUUGCGCCUCUGACGUUAGCGGCGGACGGGUGAGUAACACGUGGAUAACCUACCUAUAAGACUGGGAUAACUUCGGGAAACCGGAGCUAAUACCGGAGAAUAUAUUGAAGCGCAUGGGUCAAUAGUGAGAGACGGUGGUGGUGUCACUUAUAGAGGGAUCUGGGCCGCAUGAGCUAGUUGGUAAGGUAACGGCUUACCAAGGCGAGGAGGCGUAACCGACCUGAGAGGCUGAUCGGCCACACUGGAAGUGAGACACGGUCCAGACUACUACGGGAGGCAGCAGUAGGGAAUGUUCCGCAAUGGGCGAAAGCCUGACGGAGCAACGCCGCGUCAGUGACGACGGUCUUCGGAUCGUAAAACUCUGUUAUUAGGGAAGAACAAAUGUGUAAGUAACUAUGCACGUCUUGACGGUACCUAAUCAGAAAGCCCCGGCUAACUACGUG
RNAcentral lists this ribosomal RNA (497 nucleotides) under uncultured bacterium. RNAcentral's name for it is "partial 16S ribosomal RNA". It matches the Rfam family "Bacterial small subunit ribosomal RNA", at positions 28 to 507 of the family's 1533-position model. The record is from RNAcentral.